AUUGCGCAAUGGAGGAAACUCUGACGCAGCGACGCCCCGUGAGCGAUGAAGGUCUUCGGACCGUAAAUCUUUGUCCUUGGGGAAGAAGGUCUUCGGACUUGACGGUACCUAAGGAUGAAUCCCCGGCUAACUACGCGCCAGCAGCCGUGGUAAUACGUAGGGGGCAAGCUUUGUCCUGAAUUAUUGGGCGUAAAGGGUGCGUAGGCGGCCUUUUAAGUCAGAUGUGAAAGCCCACGGCUUAACCGUGGGAAUGCAUUUGAAACUGGAGGGCUUGAGUAUCGGAGAGGGUAGUGGAAUUCCCAGUGUAGCGGUGGAAUGCGUAGAUAUUGGGAGGAACACCAGUGGCGAAGGCGACUACCUGGAAGAAAACUGACGCUGAGGCACGAAAGCUAGGGGAGCAAACAG
Molecule: ribosomal RNA, 405 nt
Filed under: uncultured bacterium
Lineage: Bacteria
Description: partial 16S ribosomal RNA
Rfam family: Bacterial small subunit ribosomal RNA
Source: RNAcentral